Molecule: ribosomal RNA, 253 nt
Filed under: uncultured bacterium
Lineage: Bacteria
Description: partial 16S ribosomal RNA
Rfam family: Bacterial small subunit ribosomal RNA
Source: RNAcentral
UACGGAGGGUGCAAGCGUUAAUCGGAAUUACUGGGCGUAAAGCGUGCGCAGGCGGUUUGUUAAGUCUGCUGUGAAAUCCCCGAGCUCAACUUGGGAAUUGCAGUGGAUACUGGCAAGCUGGAGUACGGUAGAGGAAGGUGGAAUUCCCGGUGUAGCAGUGAAAUGCGUAGAGAUCGGGAGGAACACCAAUGGCGAAGGCGGCCUUCUGGACCAGUACUGACGCUCAUGCACGAAAGCGUGGGGAGCAAACAGG